GCGGCCGCCGUCGGAUCCGACACCGCUGGCCGCGGCCACGCUAAUCUGCCGGCCCACCGGCUGUAUUGCCAACCGCCGGCGGCCGGCGGCAUCCCGCCGCGUCGCCGAGGGCGGGGAACGCCACGGCCUACAAGAGCAGCUUGAUGCUCAAGAUUGCUGAGGUUCCAGAUGAAUCAAGACCUGAAAUAGGCUCCUCAAGGAACAGAAUACUUGGGUUUGCUGCAAGUUCAACCGCAAUUGUGUUCUGAUUCAACUUCAACUCUGAAUUCUUCCCUCCAGCUCUCAACACUACCAUUCUCACCCUCAGAAAGUACUAUUUUGGAACUAGAUGCUAACUUUGGUGGCUCCAGAGAUUUGUAUCUGCCUGAUUCAAUAGAAUCUUCGAUAUAACCAUGAAGUGAGCUUGAAUAAACUUCCACAUCGUGAACAUCAAUGCCAUUAGCAGAGCGAGUAGCGUCCAUCCAAUAAGAAUCAUAUAAGGGACAUAAGGCUUUCCUGAAACACUUGUUACCAGUUCAGCAUAGAUUAAGUAAGCCUUGCCAGAAGCCAUCUCCGGAUUUGCCUUGCAGAAAGUAAGUUGGUUCAGAUAUUUGAUGCAGGAUUCUUUGUAACCAUAUGAGAACUGUUGAUCGCAGAAGGAUAUAUUGGCCCAACGAAUUGGAUUGAUCUGCAUUAGCCACCUCCAGUAUUGAGGGAUAUUAGAUGGGUAGAUCACAAACCCACUGAACAGAAGGAAAAUGGAGACUAUAAGGCCUGCAUGUAGGUGGCAGUCCAGUACAGUAUGUCAGAUUGAUUAUUUGUGUUAGUUUUGAUAUAACUUACUGGAAUUAAAUCAGGCUAACCAAAUUUUGUAAUACGAAGAUAGAAGAAAUUGUUACCUGCCAACGCAUUUGCUAUUUCAGGAAUGGAUGCCACUGCACUCAGAAAGAAGAAGAUCGAUGAUCCAAAGUAAGCCACAAGAAACAUCUGAAAUAAGUAGUCGAGGAACACUAGUCCAUUGUUUCCCAUUGCCAGCCCCGCUAGAAAGUAUACACAAACUGAAUAAAGGAGUGCCUGCAUUACACAUGACAUGUUUGCAUUAUACAACAAUGGCGCUUAUGUUUAGGAUCUAAUACCAUAAGGAAUGCAUAUAUGUGCAUAUGUUAUAAUCGAUGACCGAAAAGAUCAAAGGAUGGCAUUACCUCAAUAAAAGCCUGCGGCAGAUUUGUGACACAAUGGGCAACAACAUAAGAGGAUGUCCUGAAAAAUCUUCGGUCCCUAUGUUUAUAGAAUGUGGGCCUCUGAAGCAUGUAUAGAGGGAGCUGAGGCAUGUUUAUGAGCAAAAUGCUCAUGGUGUUUACAAACCCAAGAGCUCUCACAGAGUUCAUAUGUUGAAGAUUAUACUGCCCUCCAAGCUUGUAGAACAGUGUCCCAGCAAAUAUACCAAGAAUGCAUGCCUGGCAAAAAGAAAGUUCAGUAAUCUGGCCUAUCCAUAUCAUGACCAAGUAGCCGAUUCUUUUGCAUCUACCAUGUUUUUAACUAUUGGCAAACCUGUAUGACUCGAAGUGUGCUCAACACGUGAAGUUGUUUCAAGAUCCUAAGCUGUCUCUGGAUCAGGGUUUUUGUUGAUUUCGACCAUGGUUGCACAUAUGGCCUCUGAAAUUGCUCCCAUCGUGGUUCAUCCUCAUUGCCCUAUGGUAUUUUUAUUUACCAAUGCAAAAAAUUUCAGUAUUGAAUUGUUUGGAUAGAUCAUCAAGUUUAUGAUGAUAAAUUUGCAAACCAUAAACCUUGUGAUUUGCUACUGGUAAUUGAGGUCUGAAAAUAACAGUUAAUAGAUUAACCUGCCUUAUUGUCAGAUCGUUCAAAUUGAAGGCGGAUAUGUCCUUGGGCGUGACGUAGAGCUGAGAAAACUUUAGUUAGGCGUUGCUUGUGGUCAAAUAUUGGCCCAGUUGCCAGAUACUGCAUCGGCUCUUCAUUUAUGGAAAUUCCCGUCACAACAUCGCCAACUUGGAUGUUUCCUGAACUUUCGAUCCCACUAAUAUAUCUUGAUUUGUUCAAAAGUUUUGUGACAACUACUUCUGAAUGGAAACAUGGGAGCAGUAACACAGUGUUAGCCUUAAAUCAUUAUUUGAGUUGAAUGUGGUUGAUUCCUUCAAGGAUAAGCCAAUUCCUGGCUCGCUCUCAACCCAAUAUGUAAUGAACUCUUUGCUCUUGCCAAUGACUCUUAUAACAUCCAGGUAAUGAUCUGAUGAGUAGUAGCAUUCCACAAGCUCCUCCAGGCCUUGUAUAUUUGACCUUGGCAAUUGGUACUGCAUGCCAUUUUCUGCAGCGAUAUCUUGGAGAAACUCCCAGGACUCCACAUGUGGAGGCUUCAUAUACCUAACAUCAGUAUUUUCUAAUUUUUACCAUCGAUAGUUUUACCUGAAGAUUUGAAGGAAAAAAAAAUGCAGUUAGUUACCCUAGUUGAGCAAAGUAUGUGACUGCAUCCUGUCUUGGGCCUUGGUACAGCAGAUGCCCUUCUCCGAGAAGGAUUAUCCUGUCGAAGAGGUCAAAUGCUUCUUCAGAGAGGUGAUUCAGGGCCAUGACUGCAGAUGAUUGUUGGACUCUACAGACAGCCCUUAUAGUGUUCACCAAAUCAUAGGUCAUUGCUGGAUCUGAGCCUGUCAAUGGCUGGUCAUAGACCAUGACCGAGUACGUCCCCACUGCAAGCUCAGCUAUCGUCAGCUUGUCCCUGUCAGUAUCUGAUAUGCCACUAACACGGAAAUUCUCUAUUUUCUUCAAGUCAAGGAUCUGCAUGACAUAUUCAAGGAAAGGAUCCUGUCCUUCCACGAGUGCAUAGGCGAAGAACUUUCGCAUUUGUGGUGUGAAAUUCUCAGGCCGGAGACCUUGCGUGCAGUCCCUUGCAAACUCGAGUUUCUCGGACUGAGAGGAAGGGAAUGUGCCUACGGGAUAAAUCAGAGUUAAUGGUGUUGUUCUUAAAAAAAAAGAUAGACAGAGAGUUAAGGAUAAUUAAGUUAUUCUGAAAGCAAGAAUAUGUGGCAGUUGUACACCUCUUAAACAUUUGUCCCUUUUUGUUCUCCCAGCAAAUCUGUGAUAUGAUAUAUGGAGAGAGAGUUUUUUGUGUACAUUCAUCAUUAAAUAUUGUUAUAAGUUUUUGUUUUUUCAUGCAUUCUCCAUUUUUCCCAAAGAAAAGAAUAGUUUGUCACUUGACAGCUUGGUUUCAAUUAAUCAUAUUCUUUGCUCUAGCUGUAACAUGAGCUAAAUAUCAUUUAGGUAAGGCUGGUUUGCUAAACCUUGAAAUCUAUGUAAUCUUAGUUGCCUUACUUGUUGAGCUGACCACAGACAUAGGCAAUCAGGCGACUAUUUUGAACUUCAGAUGCUGUCUUUUCAUUGUAGAUGACCAUGCCUGACAGUCCAGAAUCUUCACCUGGCGCGGCUCGACCAGCAAGUAUCUUCAGCAAGGUUGAUUACCAGGUGGACCUAGGACUAGAGUCAUAGAACCCGGCAUGAUAUAGCCAUCAAUUCCUUUCAAGAUUUGAAACUCAGCUGAUCGUUUGCUUAGGGACAGGCUUCUUACUGGUUGCAUAAAGCAUUCGAGCAGCUUGUUACCAAAGGUCUCAUAGCUGAAGGAAGCUGUCUCAAUCUUCGCAGAGUAUGUUAUCCCACAGAAUUUGACGAUCUGCAGUACUAAAAUUAUGUGAAUAACUGUGUAUAACUUAAUAGCUAAAUUUAUGAUAAAUUUCUGUUUUACUACAUCUGAUGGUGUUGUAUUCAAUAACUUUUACA
Panicum virgatum (switchgrass) is the source of this 3765-nucleotide RNA transcript. RefSeq lists it as uncharacterized. NCBI's taxonomy places the organism in Eukaryota, Viridiplantae, Streptophyta, Magnoliopsida, Poales, Poaceae. The transcript is spliced from 6 exons. The record is from RefSeq and is a predicted model, not a curated record.